GUAGGUGGCAAGCGUUGUCCGGAAUUAUUGGGCGUAAAGCGCGCGCAGGCGGUUCUUUAAGUCUGAUGUGAAAGCCCACGGCUCAACCGUGGAGGGUCAUUGGAAACUGGAGAACUUGAGUACAGAAGAGGAAAGCGGAAUUCCACGUGUAGCGGUGAAAUGCGUAGAGAUGUGGAGGAACACCAGUGGCGAAGGCGGCUUUCUGGUCUGUAACUGACGCUGAGGCGCGAAAGCGUGGGGAGCAAACAGGGAUUAGAUACCCUGGUAGUCCACGCCGUAAACGAUGAGUGCUAAGUGUUAGGGGGUUUCCGCCCCCUUAGUGCUGCAGCUAACGCAUUAAGCACUCCGCCUGGGGAGUACGGCCGCAAGGCUG
This 373-nucleotide ribosomal RNA is filed under the name uncultured organism. RNAcentral describes it as "partial 16S ribosomal RNA". It matches the Rfam family "Bacterial small subunit ribosomal RNA", at positions 527 to 896 of the family's 1533-position model. The record is from RNAcentral.